AUUGAACGCUGGCGGCAGGCCUAACACAUGCAAGUCGAGCGCGAAAGGACUUCGGUCCAAGUAGAGCGGCGGACGGGUGAGUAACGCGUAGGAAUUUACCCAGUAGAGGGGGAUAACUUGGGGAAACUCAAGCUAAUACCGCAUACGCCCCAAGGGGGAAAGCGGGGGAUCUUCGGACCUCGUGCUAUUGGAUGAGCCUGCGUUAGAUUAGCUAGUUGGUAGGGUAAAGGCCUACCAAGGCGACGAUCUAUAGCUGGUCUGAGAGGAUGAUCAGCCACACCGGGACUGAGACACGGCCCGGACUCCUACGGGAGGCUG
This 318-nucleotide ribosomal RNA is filed under the name uncultured Pseudomonadota bacterium. Its description in RNAcentral is "bacterial SSU rRNA". It matches the Rfam family "Bacterial small subunit ribosomal RNA", at positions 30 to 351 of the family's 1533-position model. The record is from RNAcentral. Lineage: Bacteria; Pseudomonadati; Pseudomonadota.